UUAUAAGCAAAAAAACACUUUUUAGUUUCAUUGAAUAACCGAUGUAUGCAGUCAGUAUUAUAGACUGGAUACAUCAAUUAUUCAAUGAAUCUAAAAAGUGAUUUCUUGCUUAUAA
This is a microRNA precursor of Medicago truncatula (barrel medic), 115 nucleotides long. It matches the Rfam family "MIR2593 microRNA precursor family". NCBI's taxonomy places the organism in Eukaryota, Viridiplantae, Streptophyta, Magnoliopsida, Fabales, Fabaceae. The record is from Rfam.